AGAGUUUGAUCCUGGCUCAGAUUGAACGCUAGCGGCAUGCUUAACACAUGCAAGUCGAACGGUAACAGGCGGAGCUUGCUCUGCGCUGACGAGUGGCGGACGGGUGAGUAAUGCUUAGGAAUCUGCCCAGUAGCGGGGGACAACAUGUGGAAACGCAUGCUAAUACCGCAUACGCCCUACGGGGGAAAGCAGGGGAUCUUCGGACCUUGCACUAUUGGAUGAGCCUAAGUCAGAUUAGCUUGUUGGUGGGGUAAAAGCCUACCAAGGCGACGAUCUGUAGCUGGUCUGAGAGGACGAUCAGCCACACUGGAACUGAGACACGGUCCAGACUCCUACGGGAGGCAUCAGUGGGGAAUAUUGCACAAUGGGCGCAAGCCUGAUGCAGCAAUGCCGCGUGUGUGAAGAAGGCCUGCGGGUUGUAAAGCACUUUCAGUAAGGAGGAAAUCCUUAAGAUUAAUACUCUUGAGGCUUGACGUUACUUACAGAAGAAGCACCGGCUAACUCCGUGCCAGCAGCCGCGGUAAUACGGAGGGUGCGAGCGUUAAUCGGAAUUACUGGGCGUAAAGGGUGCGUAGGCGGUUAGUUAAGUUAGAUGUGAAAGCCCCGGGCUCAACCUGGGAACUGCUUUCAAACUGGCUUACUAGAGUUAGGUAGAGGAUAGUGGAAUUCCCAAUGUAGAGGUGAAAUUCGUAGAUAUUGGGAGGAACACCAGAAGCGAAGGCGAUUAUCUGGGCUUAUACUGACGCUGAGGCGCGAAAGUGUGGGGAGCAAACAGGAUUAGAUACCCUGGUAGUCCACACUGUAAACGAUGAGUGCUAGGUUUCGGGUCAUAGACUCGGAGCCGCAGCUAACGCGUUAAGCACUCCGCCUGGGGACUACGGUCGCAAGACUAAAACUCAAAGGAAUUGACGGGGACCCGCACAAGCGGUGGAGCAUGCGGUUUAAUUCGAUGCUACGCGAAAAACCUUACCAACCCUUGAAAUGUUAGAUCGCGUGAUUCAGAGAUGAAUCGCUUCGGUUCGGCCGGAUUUAACACAGGUGUUGCAUGGCUGUCGUCAGCUCGUGUCGUGAGAUGUUGGGUUAAGUCCCGCAACGAGCGAAACCCUCAUCCUUAUUUGCCAGCGCGUUAUGGCGGGGACUAUAUGGGAACUGCCGGUGAUAAGCCGGAGGAAGGUGGGGACGAGGUCAAGUCAUCAUGGCCCUUACGAGUUGGGCUACACGCGUACUACAAUGGCGGUAACAAUAAGCAGCUACGUCGUGAGGCGAGGCUAAUCUUAAAAAACCGUCUCAGUCCGGAUUGCUCUCUGCAACUCGAGAGCAUGAAGUAGGAAUCGCUAGUAAUCGCGGAUCAGCAUGCCGCGGUGAAUACGUUCUCGGGCCUUGUACACACUGCCCGUCACGCCAUGGGAGUUGGUUUUACCUGAAGCCGGUGGGCUGACCUUUUUGGAGGCAGCCGUCCACGGUAGGGCCAGCGACUGGGGUGAAGUCGUAACAAGGUAACC
This 1502-nucleotide ribosomal RNA is filed under the name uncultured prokaryote. RNAcentral's name for it is "partial 16S ribosomal RNA". It matches the Rfam family "Bacterial small subunit ribosomal RNA". The record is from RNAcentral.